Molecule: ribosomal RNA, 239 nt
Filed under: uncultured bacterium
Lineage: Bacteria
Description: partial 16S ribosomal RNA
Rfam family: Bacterial small subunit ribosomal RNA
Source: RNAcentral
GAUCCUGGCUCAGGAUGAACGCUGGCGGCGUGCUUAACACAUGCAAGUCGAACGAAGAUACUUAAAAUGAGAGCUUCGGCAGGAUUUUUAUUUAUCUUAGUGGCGGACGGGUGAGUAACGUGUGGGCAACCUGCCCUAUACUGGGGAAUAAUCGCUGGAAAUGACUGCUAAUACCGCAUAAGACCACAGCACUGCAUGGUGCAGGGGUAAAAACUCCGGUGGUAUGAGAUGGACCCGCG